CAGCACUCACACAUACACCUAUAAAGGUACUUAUGUUCACUCUGCCUUCACUGCAUCUAUAGCAGCAGAAUCUACACUCAGGGUGAGAAAUGGUAAAAAGAACCGUAUCUGUAAAUUAAUCAGGGCCCUGAUAAGUCUUCGCCGAGGAGCCUCACUGGUGCCUUAUUUACCUGAAGCCUGUAACACGUGUGCUACUGAGGAAGAUAAACCCAGUUAUCUGUCUUUGGUCUUUGUCCCCCUGCAGGGUGGCCCACAUUACUGACAAGGUUUGCCAGCCACGGGGCGACACCCGAGCAGGCCUUCGCUUACUCUUUACAGCAAAUCUGCUUGUGAGCCAUUCAGACUCAUCCAUUAUUGAACGUCCACAGUUUCCGUUUCAUGGAAAGCGAGAAGACAGAGAGAAAAACAAACAGCGGGUGCCGCCACCCAGACAGGCACAGUGGUCAGUGGAACGGCGGACAGCAUGGAGGACGGCCAGACAGACUGCAUGGGUGUACACAAUGAGAUACAGACAGAAACACAAAGUGUGCCACUCUCUCAGCCUUCCGAGGAGCAGCCCAUUAUACAACAGGAUAAUCAAGAUCAGGAAAAUCCUAAGAGCUGCAGUGAGAAUGAACAAGAAACACAUGCUGAUCCUGAGCUAGAAGAAAAAAAUCAGAAACCUCAUGAAGAAUCUGAAGAGUAUGAAGAAGAGCAAAAUCUAGAUAGACAACAGGAGGAAUGGUUUGAACUAGAAGAACAGCUCCAGUCCUCGUAUCUAAUGUCAGGCUAUGAAGGUGUGCCCACUAACACAAAGGGAAUCUCCUCUGAACUCUGCUGGUACUGCAUUAAAUCCCUUCCGAGUGAAGAACAAAGUUUACCACAGCUCCAGCUGGAGAAUGAGGCUUUACCCACACUCAAUGGUGGUGAGCACUUAAACUACCUUCAGGACCCCAGGCCUCAUUUUGGGGUGGCACGCUCCUCGCGCUCUAUACCUUUCCCACUGUGGGACAGUGAGCGUCCCAGAGAGAUGAAGAGGGAUGCAGAUGAGGAGGAUGCAGAUUUUGUUACUAGUUGCCCGCACUGCCAUCUGGGGCUUCCACUUGAUACAUUACGCUGGCAUGAGGAAAAAUGCCUGUCAUUUGAAGGCCCGAAAACGGAUGCGUGAAAUUAAAUGUCAAGGGGAAAGAGGUCAGGUUUAUGAUUUACUGAAUUGUUAGAUCAGAAGCAAGCCUGUCUGAAGCAAGUAAUUUGUGCGGCAAUAAGGAGUUCAUUUAUUUAAAAAAAGGCUGUCAGCUAUUGUACAAUAUUUCCUUCGUAAAACUAUUUAUAAAUUAUGUUACAGGAUGACGUUUUAUUAGCUUUGAUAGACAGUAUUAGUGCCUAGGUUUGUUAGACUGCAUGCUGCAUCAUUAGUUAUAUUUAAUCUGUUUUCUUUUUUAAUUUAGUAUAUUGUUGACUGCCUUUGAAUGGAAUGUAUAGUAAGACACAGGAUUGAUGAGAUUUAAUACUACUAAUCUUACCUAUAGUUUUGAACACUUUAUUAAGAUAUAUUAAUGCUAAAUGUAAAUAUCUGUUGUAAUGUGCAAUGCUGUCAAAUAAAUGCUUUAUUAACUUUGUGAUUCA
Molecule: long non-coding RNA, 1605 nt
Filed under: Astyanax mexicanus (Mexican tetra)
Lineage: Eukaryota; Metazoa; Chordata; Actinopteri; Characiformes; Acestrorhamphidae
Description: lncRNA (ENSAMXG00005009025.1)
Source: RNAcentral